RNAcentral lists this unclassified non-coding RNA (2656 nucleotides) under Acanthaster planci (crown-of-thorns starfish). RNAcentral's name for it is "tumor necrosis factor receptor superfamily member 1B- like, transcript variant X4". Lineage: Eukaryota; Metazoa; Echinodermata; Asteroidea; Valvatida; Acanthasteridae. The record is from RNAcentral.
UGUUUUCAAAUUCCAUGUGACUUAGGGAAGGUGAUUUGGACAUUACAGUAGAUAUCUUUCUUUCUUUCCUUUUUUCAAUUAAAGAAAAAGCCUUAUUUCCCUCCCGAACCAGUCUCUGGUGGAUACAUUAUCAUGAUAGCACGAACGGUAAAUUUGCCUCUUUGCCGCGUGAUAAAGUCCACAGUGACGUGACCGCGAGAAUAGUAACUCGGAAAAAAAUUGCAAGUGUCCCUUCUACACUUCCGUAAGUCGCCUAUACUUUAUCGGAAUAUUAUGAUUCUGUGCAAAAUGUCUGCCGUGGCAGGUUUGGUUCGUUUUUCUCUAUCGACAUGGUCGAUGUCAUCUUGAUUAACCACUAGCCUCAACUGUAGUUAGCCUUAACUUUCACGGACACUUAACUGAGAGCUGUCAUCACCAUCCGACCAUGGACCAGCAAAAUUUGUCUGCGAUUUUGAUGUUGCUCUUUCUACAUCAAGCCUACUGUUCAGAAGUUAAAAGCCUCACAAGUGAUGCCUCAGUAUUUCCACAAGUCCUCGGUCAUGUCAUAAAGCCCCGUUCCACAAGCAGCAAGUUCAUUCCGGGCCCAGAUGGAGAACGAUGUAUACUCGACGCCAAUCACAUUCAGGACAGACGAUACGAGAAAGAGGAUGAUCGAGGAGGGUGCUACUGUGAAUUGUGUGAUUUUGGAAAAUAUGCCAAACAGCUGUGUCAGUGCGGUGGUCCAAAUGGAACUCAAGCAAACGUGACAGAUUGCAAAUUUGUAAAAGAGGGACUGGAGUACAUGGACAAAGCAAAUAAAUGCAGCCAACCAUACAAUUGCUCUUUGAGCUGUGGUAAUCACCAAUUUAAGGUGGCUAAUUGUACAGCAAUGUCCGACAUUAAAUGCGAGUGUGAAGAGGGUUGGUUCAAUCCUCAUCCAUCAAAGGGAGAAACCAUUCCGAGGGAGUGUCGAGUUAAGCCACGCUGCCCUGCUGGCCAAGGUCUAGAAUCCCACACCAUUGGUUAGUAAGCAUCAACCGGAGAGGUCAGCUUCACCUGUCAGCCAUGCAGGGAUGGUUACUUUCAAGGAUUUGAUAACAGCAUCUCCAGCUGCCAGCCACACAGAGCGUGCACUGUCCAGGCUGGAAAUUCAAUUAAUGAUAACAUCUGCCUCAAUGAUGACUUGCCGAUGAACCUGUCAUCAAAUGUGCCUGGGGAGCCCUCCACCCUAGAACCAAAAGAACUUGAAUCUACCACAGGAACGACACCCACGCAGACCCAACCUUCUGGGGAACCGAGGAGCACUCAAGAGAAUCUUCCAGACGACGAAGUGCAACCAGGUGUCUGGUACCCAGCAGGCUGCAUCAUUGCAUUGGCUUGUACUUCAUGUGUGAUUCUUGUCGUCCUUGUCAGCUAUUGUGUGUACAUUAAAUGUAAGAAAAAGGAGACUUACAUGGACUUGCCUACAGUUGACUAUAAUGCUAGGCAGCAACAAGUCCAACUACAUGUACCAACAGGUACUUGAUUGGGCAGCUCUUGAGACUCAGUCAGUAUUUUGUGCCUCAACUUUGUAUCUUUGGAAUAUCAUCAUUGGCCUUCUCCUUGAAAAAAGGAUUGUCACUUUUUAUUCUGCAAUUAUUUCAUCACUAAAUGUAUUCAGUAACAUCAUGGGACCAUUCACUUUUGAAGAACAAACUGGUCAUGUAUACAUGUGUAUGUUUUCUUUGAGAGUGGACAUAAGGUCCUACUCUGCCUAAGACAUAUCUAGCAAACGCAUUGCAAAACGUAACCCUGCUUAUCCCAACAGUGCCGGACAGCCAAAGGUUUUUAUGUUAGAUGUUGUUUGUCUGACCAUGGAGGAACGAUGGUCCGAUCAUUGAAUGAAAGAUUGUUGGGAGUUUUAAGAAAUAAGUGAAGCAGUACUACAGAUAAUUCUUAUCAACCUCAAGAAAGUCUAAAUAAACAUUUAACUGUUUAUUAUGACAUGUAUGGUUGAUACAGAAUUGUGUAUAUACUUUGUAUAUAUUUUUAUUACUGCUAUAAUGAGUCUAUUUUGUAUUUUUUACACUUGCAAUAACGGGGAAUUAGUAACUGUCUUUUUUCAUACCUUGACAUUGUGAAUUAGUAAAUCUUGUCUUCAUUUUUGCGAACAUAAAGCUUUAGGUUGCCUUUAAAACAACACAUAAAUAUCUCAUCCUGUGAAAAAAAAAUAUGAAUAGAUGGUUUACUCUUUCCAAGUAUUAGGAAAACGCCAAAAUUGACCUUCACUUCAAUAUUUGACUUUGAACUCUUAUAGGAAAGAGCAGAAUGUGACUUAACACUCUUUGUCAUGCCGGGUCACAUUUAUGAACCAAAUUUUAUAUUUCAGAAUAAAUAUUGAAUUUAAACUGAAGCAUACUAGUACUUCAUGUCACCUUAAAAAAAUUCAUGGACUCUGUUGCUAAGCAACCAUUUUUUUUAAGAAAAUAUCAAAUUAAUUUCAUUAGAAAGCUGCAACUCAGCUGAACCUUCCCUGGGCUUGUAGUUAAACUCAGUUGUGUUAAGUAGAAAUAAGAGGAUGUAAAUUACGCUUUAAAAGUACUUAUCAGAGUCUGUGUGUGGUUUUAUAUUUUGUUGCAGAUGAUUUUGGAUUUGCUUGGGCCGUCUAAACAUAAAUAAAUGUUUUCUGUGAGAAUAA